RNAcentral lists this long non-coding RNA (1383 nucleotides) under Homo sapiens (human). RNAcentral describes it as "HSALNT0007638". The record is from RNAcentral. Lineage: Eukaryota; Metazoa; Chordata; Mammalia; Primates; Hominidae.
GCCAUGAGUCACAGCAGCUGGCUCAAGGCUGGGAGGGGAAGUAAAACACUAAAUCUAAGGACCACUCUAUUCACCCUACAGUGACUGCUCUUUUUCCCUCCUGCCACAGUCCAGGGUAGGAGAUACUUCUCCAGGCUCUCACUUAUGGGGGCUUUCCUGCUGGCUACAUCACUGAAAUGGAAUCUCCUAGUGGCCCUUCUCCCUCUACAGCUCUGGUGUUACACUGAAAAACUAGAAGUUUCAAAACAGACAAGGGAAAAAGAGAAACAUCAGAAAGUCUGAUUAAAGUAGAAGCAUCAUAUUUCUAUCAACGUAUCCACUGUGCUUGGACACAAUUGCAGGCCCUUGACAUCUUUUGCCUGGAUUAUUGCAACAGCCUCCAAAAGGACUCGUCUGUCUCCAUGAUACCCCUCCAUCCUCCUCUGCAUCAUCACCAAGGGAAUCUUUGUAAAGCAAAGGCAUGAUCAUGCUUAUCACCUGGUGGAAACCCUUCAGAGACUCUCCACUCCCCAGAGCAGGCACCACAUCGUUAGAGUCUACAGAAGGCAGGAGGAAACAGAAAUGAGUGCCGGGUCCAUAGGACUCUGUAAUAUUCACCGGCAGGAAAACCCAAGGGAAUGACUACUAUGACAUCUGAUGCCUAGAUUCAAGCCAUGCAAAGAAGGCCUCUGAGCUCAGCUCUCAACUGAUGCUUUUUGAAUUGAGCAGAGUGACCUUGCUGAAAACUGCUCACUGAUGUCACUUAGAGGAAGGCAGGGGCACAAGAUGGGAGGACCCAGAGCUCCGGGUUCUUAAUGAAUUUUUGCCACCUUCAAUGAGAAAGACUGAAACAAAAAACUCAGAAGAAAGAAAGAGACUGAGAUAGCAAAUAUGACAAACUGUUAAAAAUUCAUGAAUCUGUUAUGGAAUACUAUGCAGCCAUAAAAAAGGAUGAGUUCCUGUCCUUUGCAAGGACGUGUAUGAAGCUGGAAACCAUCAUUCUGAGCAAACUAAAACAGGAACAGAAAACCAAACACCACAUGUUCUCACUCAUAAGUGGGAGUUGAACAAUGAGAACACAUGGACACGGCGGGGUGGUGGGAACAUCACACACCGGGGCCUGUCAGAGGGGAGGGGGCUAGGGGAGAGAUAGCAUUAGGAGAAAUACCUAAUGUAGAUGAUGGGUUGAUGGGUGCAGCAAACCACCAUGGCAUGUGUAUACCUAUGUAACAAACCUGCAUGUUCUGCACAUGUAUCCCAGAACUUAAAGUAUAAUAAUAAAAAGAGAGAUUAAAAAAAUUGGUGAAUCUGGGCAAAAUGUACACAGGAUUUUUCUGUACUGUUCUUGCAACUUUUCUACAGAUUUGAAAUGUUACAAAAUAAAAGGUAUUUUUAGAAAAAGAG